Long non-coding RNA from Mustela lutreola (European mink), 3121 nucleotides. RefSeq lists it as uncharacterized. The transcript has 3 exons. The record is from RefSeq and is a predicted model, not a curated record. Lineage: Eukaryota; Metazoa; Chordata; Mammalia; Carnivora; Mustelidae.
CUUCAUUCGAGAAGAAAGUGGCAUGUCAAGAGCUCUUUAUAGAAAGAGGAGAAAAAUGAAUUCAGAAAUAAAGUGGAUAUAUGUUGCUUGCUGCCUCAAGUUCACCUGCCUUGCUGCUGGGUCCACCCAACCGGCCUCCUUUGCUAAGGUCUGAAUGAGGCUGGGAGAAGAAAGGAAGAAAGGAGAAGAUGCUGAGUAAAGGUCAGAGAUACAGGUGGUGGAAGGUAUUAGACUUGAGCGAAGAUCCCCCUGACCUUUAGAGCAAGGCCAAGCCUUCCAUGGCAGGACUUUCUCAGGAUGUCACUAAAUUUGUGCUCGAUAAAGCUCUUUGGUUAAGAGGAUGGAGGAAGAACAUCUAAAUAUACCAGAGAAGAACUAUGGAAAUAGAGGAUAAGACAGAAGAAUUGCAUAAAAAAAAAACCAACCGAGCAUCUCAGUUACGGAAACUGUGUGGAACACGUUUUUGUUUCAAUACGAAGUUUUAUUCUCUCUGUGAUGCGAAUCAGGGAGCAUUUUACAGUGUCUGGGUGGGAAAUGAGAAAAGAACAGGGGUUUCUCGUUUUGGUCUUUGCUCUGGCUGAGGCAUACAAGGGUGGCUGGGAAGAGUUUCCUGUAGGUCUGUUCUGGCGUAAGAGCUUUGGGAAGUUAAGUGAUUGGGAAGGGCAUACAGGGGUUCACAACUUUUCUUCUUUUUUGGAUUGUGGAACCUCUACUGAUCAUCUAAGACCUAACUUAAAUACCUCCUCCCUUGGGAGCUUUCCCUGAUUUUCUCCCUUUCUCGCUGUCAUUUUUGUAAUGACCCAGUACUUAUGUAGAUUUUCCUUAGGGUGUUUGUUUAUUAUAUCGCCAUCAUUAUUCUUCACACAAGUUCCGCUGUGUCCUCUCCUUGAAGGCAGGUCUGUAUCUUACUCUUCAUAUACCUGGGAUCUAGCAGAGUGGCUGACACUUAGUAGGUUCUCAAUAAACCUUGUGGAAUGAAUGGAAGAGGGAGUAAUCCUUACUUCAUUCCCUCCUAAAUGCCUUUUUAGACCAGAUGUCACAGAGGUUGAGGCACCAAAACCUUAGAAGACAGGGACUGGGGGUGCCCAGGUGGCUCAGUCGUGGGGUGUCUGCCUUCAGUUCAGGUCAUGAUGCCAGGGUCCUGGGAUCGAGCCCCGCAUCGGGCUCCCUGCUCAGAGGGAGGCCUGCUUCUCCUCUCCCACUGCCCUUGCUUGCGCUCCCUCUCUUGCUGUCUCUCUCUCUCUCUGUGUUAAAUAAAUAAAUGAAAAAAAUCUUAAAAAAGAAAAGAAGAAGAAGACAAGGACUAGGAAGGAGCUCGUCUCCACAGGGACAGCACUGAGCGGAGCACUGGACAUCUUCCAUGCACGCCCUAGUGCGAGGCAAGGGAAGGAUUUCUUCAUCUGAGCCCGACUUCACUUAAGUGCCCAACCUUGGACAAGUCACUCCAGUUCUCCAAUGGUCAGUUUUCUCAUCUGCAAAGUGGGAAUCCUAAUAGGACCUACCUCAUAGGGUGGCUGUGAGAACGAACUGAGUUUACUCCUAUGACACACCCAAGCACGGCGACUUAACACUUAGGACGUGCUUAAUAAUCCUUAGAUAUUAUCAUUAGCUACUCUAAAACUGAGAUCUGUAUAACACACCCAUUUUUUUUUAAAGAUUUUAUUUAUUUCCCCCCUCUCUCUGCUUGUCUGUCUGCCUGCUUGUGAUCUCUUUCUGUCAAAUAAAUAAAUAAAAUCUUAAAAAAAAAAAAAAAAGAAGUCACGGGGAUGAAAAAUACAGCGUAGGACGUGUAGUCAAUGGUAUUGUAAUAGCGUAUACGGUGACAGAUGGGAGCGACACUUGUGGGAGUGUGGCAUAAGGUCACCAUGUUGUACACCUGAAACUAAUGUUACAUUGUGUACCAACUAUAAUUUAAUGAAAAAAAAAAUCUGUUAUCCUCAUUACUUCUAGAAAAUGGGACCCUGAGUCCCCAGGCUGGCUUUUCCAAGCAUCAGCUUGCCCCAUUCCUAUGGAUUUCUCUUGCUCUGUGUUGGGUACCGGAGGCGCUUAGAUUGUGACCCUGUCUUGACCUGAGGCCUUCACCAGGCCCCUGGGAUUCUCGUGGCCCAGCUUUGCUGGAAGUCACUUCCAUAGUCGUAGUUAAGGUCUGAGGAGCCGUGGCUUCUUGUUUGCUUCCACUGAAGUGACCUCAUGCUUUCAAAAUCUCAGGCAAAGUGAAAAGUAUAAAUUUUGAAGGCCAAGAGUCCCUGGAUUGCUGUUUUAUGUGACAGCUUAAUGGAAGAGUAAUCUCAAGGAGCAGUUGGAGAAGGACUUGUAUGUGAAGCAGUUGAGAGGUUUUUUGUCUGCUCUAUUUUUGUUAACUUCCUAAACCCAUUUGCACUCUAAAAGUUUUUAUCCUCUCUCCUGCAAACUCAAAUACAGCACUUCUUACUGAUUUUUAUUAACUCAAAAUAUUUCUGAAUUCUACAGCCUCUAAGCUACGUCAUGGAAGAAGGAGAUGGGUAUACAGAAAAACAUGUUUAUUUGAAUUGUAUUCUUCUAUCUGUAUUACCAGCUUACUAUUUUCUCCUAGACAUCUUUAUUCGCAAGUAAAAUAAAGAUCCAUUUCAUAACUUGCUAAGAUAUCUACCAAUUAAAGAAUCAGCAGAAUAGAGAGUGGUAAAGAUGAUAAUAAUUCUUUAACUUUGACCAAAGUUUUUGAGUGGGAAAAAUAUGACAUAAAGGAAGCCCAGGGAAUCUCCUUCUGCUUCUAUACCCUUAGCAGAAUGGAACAAUGUCUCCUGAACCUGAAGGUAAUUAACUUAUUUCAAUAAAAAUGAACAAAAAUAGAGUGUAUGUAUGUUAAAAUUCAGUGAGAUAUUUAAGAUUCCUCACCAGGAAGAUUUUAAGUCUAUCAGGUUAGACAAUUACUUGGACAUUCAGGGGAAAAACAAACAAACAAGUAAUUGCUGACGACAGCAACAACAAGCAAAAAUAAACAAUGAGACCAAACUUUUCGCCUCCUAUCAAAGAAGUGUCAAUAUUUUCUCCUUUCCAUUACCUAUGCAAAAUUGGGCUUUGAAGGGUAGCUACUUCCUGAUCAUUCUAGGACGAGCUCCUCCCAGCGGAUGCUUCUGGUUUU